RNAcentral lists this long non-coding RNA (712 nucleotides) under Gallus gallus (chicken). RNAcentral's name for it is "long non-coding RNA NONGGAT004569". Lineage: Eukaryota; Metazoa; Chordata; Aves; Galliformes; Phasianidae. The record is from RNAcentral.
CGUGAGAUUCAAACAACUUCUAGUCAGGACCUCAGGGAGUUACUAUGCAGUGCCCUUCAUUUUGAAGGAAAUGGUACAAUCAAUGAUCUGUACUUCUUUCUUGGGAAAAGAAGAGAUAUUUGCACUAACAAUUAACAUUCAUCGACAAAAGACAGCUUACAGAAAAUGCUCAUGGAGUUAAAAGAAAUCAUAUUUUGUGAUUACACUGGCUGUUGUGGAUGAUUCCAUGAAGUAUUACAAUAUCAGGAAUUUCAGGUGAGCAUUGAAAGAAGGCUUCUAAUUCAACAAUAAUGCAAAAGAACCACCUAAACCACUGAUGUUUGAAGAAGCUACUCUGAUUUCUUCAUAUCCACAGUUAAAAAGAAGAGUCUGAUCUGGAGAAUCUAAGUCCAUGAUACAAUAAACCUUGCCUCAUCACCACACAUUACUUCAUAGAGUAGCCAAGUCAACAUAUAAAUAACAGUAGCUUUCUCACAAAUAGAAACUGCUGCUGGAAACGCAUUUCCUACUUUUAGUUACUCAUCUCUGAUCAGUUGUAUAAGAUUUGCUUUCAAAGGAAAUAUUUGUUCCUAAAUGGCUGUUGGAAUUACAGUUGAUGUGGUUAAUUGUCAGGAAAGCACAGGUGGCAAACGACUCAACAAGCCUCACACACCCUUUGGCGAGACCCAAAGGGAAAAAGAAAGAAAAAGAAAACCGCUGUUACAGUCAAAAU